UGGGGAAUUUUGGACAAUGGGCGAAAGCCUGAUCCAGCAAUGCCGCGUGUGUGAAGAAGGCCUUCGGGUUGUAAAGCACUUUUGUCCGGAAAGAAAUCCUUGGCUCUAAUACAGUCGGGGGAUGACGGUACCGGAAGAAUAAGCACCGGCUAACUACGUGCCAGCAGCCGCGGUAAUACGUAGGGUGCAAGCGUUAAUCGGAAUUACUGGGCGUAAAGCGUGCGCAGGCGGUUUGCUAAGACCGAUGUGAAAUCCCCGGGCUCAACCUGGGAACUGCAUUGGUGACUGGCAGGCUAGAGUAUGGCAGAGGGGGGUAGAAUUCCACGUGUAGCAGUGAAAUGCGUAGAGAUGUGGAGGAAUACUGAUGGCGAAGGCAGCCCCCUGGGCCAAUACUGACGCUCAUGCACGAAAGCGUGGGGAGCAAACAGGAUUAGAUACCCUGGUAGUCACGCCCUAAACGAUGUCAACUAGUUGUUGGGGAUUCAUUUCCUAGUAACGUAGCUAACGCGUGAAGUUGACCGCCUGGGGAGUAC
Molecule: ribosomal RNA, 533 nt
Filed under: uncultured bacterium
Lineage: Bacteria
Description: partial 16S ribosomal RNA
Rfam family: Bacterial small subunit ribosomal RNA
Source: RNAcentral